UUGAGAGCGGCGGACGGGUGAGUAAUGCCUAGGAAUCUGCCUGGUAGUGGGGGAUAACGCUCGGAAACGGACGCUAAUACCGCAUACGUCCUACGGGAGAAAGCAGGGGACCUUCGGGCCUUGCGCUAUCAGAUGAGCCUAGGUCGGAUUAGCUAGUUGGUGAGGUAAUGGCUCACCAAGGCGACGAUCCGUAACUGGUCUGAGAGGAUGAUCAGUCACACUGGAACUGAGACACGGUCCAGACUCCUACGGGAGGCAGCAGUGGGGAAUAUUGGACAAUGGGCGAAAGCCUGAUCCAGCCAUGCCGCGUGUGUGAAGAAGGUCUUCGGAUUGUAAAGCACUUUAAGUUGGGAGGAAGGGCAUUAACCUAAUACGUUGGUGUCUUGACGUUACCGACAGAAUAAGCACCGGCUAACUCUGUGCCAGCAGCCGCGGUAAUACAGAGGGUGCAAGCGUUAAUCGGAAUUACUGGGCGUAAAGCGCGCGUAGGUGGUUUGUUAAGUUGGAUGUGAAAUCCCCGGGCUCAACCUGGGAACUGCAUUCAAAACUGACAAGCUAGAGUAUGGUAGAGGGUGGUGGAAUUUCCUGUGUAGCGGUGAAAUGCGUAGAUAUAGGAAGGAACACCAGUGGCGAAGGCGACCACCUGGACUGAUACUGACACU
RNAcentral lists this ribosomal RNA (662 nucleotides) under Pseudomonas corrugata. RNAcentral's name for it is "bacterial SSU rRNA". It matches the Rfam family "Bacterial small subunit ribosomal RNA", at positions 89 to 747 of the family's 1533-position model. The record is from RNAcentral. Lineage: Bacteria; Pseudomonadati; Pseudomonadota; Gammaproteobacteria; Pseudomonadales; Pseudomonadaceae.